ACUCCUACGGGGGGCAGCAGUGGGAAGUAUUGCACAAUGGGCGGCAGCCUGCAUGCAGCCAUGCCGCGUGUGUGAAGAAGGCCUUCGGGUUGUAAAGCACUUUCAGUCGUGAGGAAGGUAGUGUAGUUAAUAGCUGCAUUAUUUGACGUUAGCGACAGAAGAAGCACCGGCUAACUCCGUGCCAGCAGCCGCGGUAAUACGGAGGGUGCGAGCGUUAAUCGGAAUUACUGGGCGUAAAGCGCACGUAGGCGGAUUGGAAAGUUAGAGGUGAAA
RNAcentral lists this ribosomal RNA (273 nucleotides) under uncultured bacterium. Its description in RNAcentral is "partial 16S ribosomal RNA". It matches the Rfam family "Bacterial small subunit ribosomal RNA", at positions 335 to 599 of the family's 1533-position model. The record is from RNAcentral.